RNAcentral lists this transfer RNA (73 nucleotides) under Metamycoplasma arthritidis 158L3-1. RNAcentral describes it as "Mycoplasma arthritidis 158L3-1 tRNA". It matches the Rfam family "tRNA". From Rfam's summary of the family: Transfer RNA (tRNA) molecules are approximately 80 nucleotides in length. Their secondary structure includes four short double-helical elements and three loops (D, anti-codon, and T loops). Further hydrogen bonds mediate the characteristic L-shaped molecular structure. tRNAs have two regions of fundamental functional importance: the anti-codon, which is responsible for specific mRNA codon recognition, and the 3' end, to which the tRNAs corresponding amino acid is attached (by aminoacyl-tRNA synthetases). tRNAs cope with the degeneracy of the genetic code in two manners: having more than one tRNA (with a specific anti-codon) for a particular amino acid; and 'wobble' base-pairing, i.e. permitting non-standard base-pairing at the 3rd anti-codon position. The record is from Rfam by way of RNAcentral. Lineage: Bacteria; Bacillati; Mycoplasmatota; Mycoplasmoidales; Metamycoplasmataceae.
GGUCGCAUAGCUCAGUGGAUAGAGCACUAACCUCCUAAGUUUGGGGUCACAGGUUCGACUCCUGUUGCGAUCG